This is a non-coding RNA of Ixodes scapularis (black-legged tick), 82 nucleotides long. NCBI's taxonomy places the organism in Eukaryota, Metazoa, Arthropoda, Arachnida, Ixodida, Ixodidae. The record is from Rfam.
GCAGACGUGGUCGAGUGGUUAAGGCGAUGGAUUUGAAAUCAAUUGGGGUCCCCCCGCACAGGUUUGAAUCCUGUCGACUGCG